UAAAAAAAUGAUGAGUUCAUGUCCUUUGUA
This 30-nucleotide non-coding RNA is filed under the name Homo sapiens (human). The record is from RNAcentral. Lineage: Eukaryota; Metazoa; Chordata; Mammalia; Primates; Hominidae.